UACGGGGGGGGCAAGCGUUGUUCGGAAUUACUGGGCGUAAAGGGCUCGUAGGCGGCCAACUAAGUCGGACGUGAAAUCCCCAGGCUCAACCUGGGAACUGCGUCCGAUACUGGAUGGCUUGAAUCCGGGAGAGGGAUGCAGAAUUCCAGGUGUAGCGGUGAAAUGCGUAGAUAUCGGGAGGAACACCAAUGGCGAAGGCAGCUCGCUGGGACGGUACUGACGCUGAGACGCGAAAGCGUGGGGAGCAAACAGG
This 253-nucleotide ribosomal RNA is filed under the name uncultured bacterium. RNAcentral describes it as "partial 16S ribosomal RNA". It matches the Rfam family "Bacterial small subunit ribosomal RNA", at positions 524 to 776 of the family's 1533-position model. The record is from RNAcentral.